Long non-coding RNA from Bombyx mandarina (wild silkworm), 761 nucleotides. Lineage: Eukaryota; Metazoa; Arthropoda; Insecta; Lepidoptera; Bombycidae. The record is from RefSeq and is a predicted model, not a curated record.
GCGACCUCCCGCUCGGCGGCUGUGUUGUGUUUUCAGAUUAUUGCAACUGUGUUCGACCUGUCACGCAAUACGAGAGGUGUCCAUCUCAGAGCAAGAACUAAAGCUGUGGUACACACAGACAACAUCUGUCGCGUCACACUCGUGUGCUGUUGUGUUACUCACUGGUCACGGUGGUCUUGUCGCUGAUGAUAUCGAAGAUAAACAUAUUCCAUUGUUACAUUCCGUCAAUACUGCUGUUGUCUAGACACGACCGGCAAGACUGAGUGAGUGUGAGUGCGCGCCGCGCCGCAGGGGCCUGGUGUCUCCGGCACGAGCACAAUGGCACGUGCGUGCUCGCCAAACGCUGCGAAUCUCUCAUCUUGGACUACAAAUCACAUAAUUUCGAACCGGUAAUUAGAUUCAUUACAUACAGAACAGAAGUAUAUGAGAAAAACGAAGAAUACAUACGUACUAUGUACCAGGAGUGAGUUUGAUACAGAAGCCGUUUGAUAACGUUGAAGUGAGCGAGUUCACUGCCGAGGAGUGCUUGACGCACUACCCUCCGCACCGACACCUGCUCGACGGGUUCGACAACAGCACGCAGCUGUGCUACGGAGACCGCGACAAGACGCGCGACACUUGCCAGGGUGACAGCGGCGGUCCCUUGAUCUUUGAAGAGGGUGAGGUGCGUUGUACGAGAACAAUAUUCGGCGUGACGUCAUCGGGCGUGGAGUCGAUGUAGCGACCGGCGCGCCGGCCGCUACACGCGCGUCGAGCACUAC